CCCAAAUCCAAUACCCAGCAUCCACUUUCUCCAAAAUUAGCCGCGAUUCAAAGCUUCUUAUUUUACCUUCUCCGUUGUUCAAGCGAAGGAUAGAUGGCUCGUACCAAGCAGACCGCUAGGAAGUCCACAGGAGGCAAAGCCCCACGGAAGCAGCUGGCAACAAAGGCAGCUCGCAAGUCAGCACCAGCCACCGGAGGUGUCAAGAAGCCCCACCGAUUCAGGCCUGGAACUGUUGCCUUGAGAGAAAUUAGGAAGUAUCAGAAGAGCACUGAGCUUUUGAUUCGCAAGCUUCCUUUCCAGAGGCUGGUGAGAGAAAUUGCUCAAGAUUUUAAAACCGACCUUAGAUUCCAAAGCAGCGCUGUUGCGGCCCUUCAAGAAGCUGCGGAGGCGUAUUUAGUGGGGCUUUUUGAGGACACUAAUCUCUGUGCUAUUCAUGCUAAGAGAGUCACUAUUAUGCCUAAGGAUAUGCAGUUGGCUCGUAGGAUUAGGGGUGAAAGGGCAUAAAUUCUCUUCAAGUCUAUGCCUUCGUAUGAUUGUAUCUAACUUUCCAUCUAUACUACCUCUGGGCUGCAAUUUUAUGUAUUUUGGGUUUUGGAUGCGUUCAGUCUACCAUGUAAAAUUCUCUGGAGAUUUUAUCGAGUAAUUCAAAAAUGGCUUUCAAAUUUCACGCCUUUCACUAGUAUGAUCUUUUUUCAAUGCAUUAUGUUUGCUAUACUUAUCGAGAGUUGGAGAUCUUGGUUGUGGUGGAGCCAUGGAUGGAAGAGGAGUCUAAUUGAAUUGAAUGAGAGGUUUAAGCCCAAGUACCUCCAUCCUUCUGCUUUGCUUGUUCAAUCCCACUCCGAGAUUCUUCGGUUUUCAUUUUCAAUUUUGCUUUCUCGUCUAGUACAGUGUUAAUUCUUUUGAGAGGUGAUUUCGAUAUUCUAAUUUUGAUUUGUUUAAUGAAUAGAUUGGAGCAUUUCUGCAAUUUUACCAUGUGGAGUUCCAUAUCAAACGUAUGCAAUGUCACUACUUAGCUCUCUCUUCUGUUAAACUUUUUUUUUUUGGUUUCUUUUGGCUCGAGAUCUCUCCUGAGCCAAUAAGCUUUAGUUCAGCUCAUUGAUCGGUAUUAUUGAAGCUUUUAUUAGUUUAAUUGUGG
RNAcentral lists this unclassified non-coding RNA (1135 nucleotides) under Hevea brasiliensis (rubber tree). Lineage: Eukaryota; Viridiplantae; Streptophyta; Magnoliopsida; Malpighiales; Euphorbiaceae. The record is from RNAcentral.